This 253-nucleotide ribosomal RNA is filed under the name uncultured bacterium. RNAcentral's name for it is "partial 16S ribosomal RNA". It matches the Rfam family "Bacterial small subunit ribosomal RNA", at positions 524 to 776 of the family's 1533-position model. The record is from RNAcentral.
UACGUAGGCAGCAAGCGUUGUUCGGAGUUACUGGGCGUAAAGGGUGCGUAGGUGGCUCUAUAAGUAUGGUGUGAAAUCUCCCGGCUUAACUGGGAGGGUGCGCCGUAGACUGUGGGGCUAGAGUGUGGGAGAGGAAAGUGGAAUUCCUGGUGUAGCGGUGAAAUGCGUAGAUAUCAGGAGGAACACCGGUGGUGUAAACGGCUUUCUGGACCAUAACUGACACUGAGGCACGAGAGCGUGGGUAGCAAACAGG